AUUGAACGCUGGCGGCAUGCCUUACACAUGCAAGUCGAACGGCAGCACGGGUGCUUGCACCUGGUGGCGAGUGGCGAACGGGUGAGUAAUACAUCGGAACGUACCUUAUCGUGGGGGAUAACGCAGCGAAAGCUGUGCUAAUACCGCCAACGCCCUGAGGGGGAAAGCGGGGGAGCGCAAGACCUCGCGCGAUUAGAGCGGCCGAUGCCUGAUUAGGUUGUUGGUGGGGUAAAAGCCCACCACGGCGAGAAUCAGUACCUGGUCUGAGAGAACAAUCAGCCACACUGGGACUGAGACACGGCCCAGCCUCCUACGGGAGGCAGCAGUGGGGAAUUUUGGACAAUGGGGGCAACCCUGAUCCAGCAAUGCCGCGUGGGUGAAGAAGGCCUUCGGGUUGUAAAGCUCUUUUGUAAGGGAAGAAACACCGGCUCUAACACAGUCCGGGAAUGACGGUACCUAAAGAAUAAGCACCGGCUAACUACGUGCCAGCAGCCGCCGUAA
RNAcentral lists this ribosomal RNA (501 nucleotides) under uncultured bacterium. RNAcentral's name for it is "partial 16S ribosomal RNA". It matches the Rfam family "Bacterial small subunit ribosomal RNA", at positions 29 to 523 of the family's 1533-position model. The record is from RNAcentral.